GAGACAGCAGCCGCCGCGGGAAUACGGAGGGUGCGAGCGUUAAUCGGAAUUACUGGGCGUAAAGCGUACGCAGGCGGUUUGUUAAGUCAGAUGUGAAAUCCCCGAGCUUAACUCGGGAACUGCAUUUGAAACUGGCAGGCUAGAGUCUCGUAGAGGGGGGUAGAAUUCCAGGUGUAGCGGUGAAAUGCGUAGAGAUCUGGAGGAAUACCGGUGGCGAAGGCGGCCCCCUGGACGAAGACUGACGCUCAGGUACGAAAGCGUGGGGAGCAAACAGGAUUAGAUACCCCAGUAGUCCCUGUCUCUUAUAC
Molecule: ribosomal RNA, 308 nt
Filed under: uncultured bacterium
Lineage: Bacteria
Description: partial 16S ribosomal RNA
Rfam family: Bacterial small subunit ribosomal RNA
Source: RNAcentral